UACGUAGGUCCCGAGCGUUGUCCGGAUUUAUUGGGCGUAAAGCGAGCGCAGGUGGUUUAAUAAGUCUGAUGUAAAAGGCAGUGGCUCAACCAUUGUGUGCAUCGGAAACUGUUAGACUUGAGUGCAGUAGAGGAGAGUGGAAUUCCAUGUGUAGCGGUGAAAUGCGUAGAUAUAUGGAGGAACACCGGUGGCGAAAGCGGCUCUCUGGACUGUAACUGACACUGAGGCUCGAAAGCGUGGGUAGCAAACAGG
Molecule: ribosomal RNA, 252 nt
Filed under: uncultured microorganism
Description: partial 16S ribosomal RNA
Rfam family: Bacterial small subunit ribosomal RNA
Source: RNAcentral